Molecule: ribosomal RNA, 604 nt
Filed under: Clostridium perfringens
Lineage: Bacteria; Bacillati; Bacillota; Clostridia; Eubacteriales; Clostridiaceae
Description: partial 23S ribosomal RNA
Rfam family: Bacterial large subunit ribosomal RNA
Source: RNAcentral
GGGUGAUGAGGUGCUUUUUGUAGAACGAGCCAACGAGUUACGGUAUGUAGCAAGGUUAAGUACUUAAGGUACGGAGCCGAAGGGAAACCGAGUCUGAAUAGGGCGACUAGUUGCAUGCCGUAGACCCGAAACCGGGUGACCUAUCCAUGGCCAGGUUGAAGCGAGGGUAAAACCUCGUGGAGGACCGAACCACGUUGCUGUUGAAAAAGCAUGGGAUGAGCUGUGGAUAGCGGAGAAAUUCCAAUCGAACCCGGAGAUAGCUGGUUCUCUCCGAAAUAGCUUUAGGGCUAGCGUCGAGUAUGAGUAGUGGAGGUAGAGCACUGAAUGGGCUAGGGGGCAUAGCGCUUACCGAACCUUAUCAAACUCCGAAUGCCACAUACUUUGAGCUCGGCAGUCAGACUACGAAUGAUAAGAUCCGUGGUCAAAAGGGAAACAGCCCAGAUCGUCAGCUAAGGUCCCAAAGUGUAAGUUAAGUGGGAAAGGAUGUGAGAUUUCUAAGACAACUAGGAUGUUGGCUUAGAAGCAGCCAUUCAUUAAAAGAGUGCGUAAUAGCUCACUAGUCGAGAGAUCUUGCGCCGAAAAUGUAACGGGGCUAAACUUACCA